This 1279-nucleotide long non-coding RNA is filed under the name Lonchura striata (white-rumped munia). Its description in RNAcentral is "domestica (Bengalese finch) lncRNA (ENSLSDG00000005633.1)". The record is from RNAcentral. Lineage: Eukaryota; Metazoa; Chordata; Aves; Passeriformes; Estrildidae.
GUCCCUUUGGGGGGAGGGGCGCGGCCGGGGGGGGAGGGGAAUGGGGGGAAAUAAUGGGGAAAAAAUGGGGGAAAAUGGAAAAUUUGAGGGGAAAAAUGAGGGAAAAAUGGGAAAAGUGGAAGAAAAAUGGGAGAAAUGAGGGGAAAAAUGGAUGGAAAAGGAAAAGUGGAAGAAAAAUGGAAAAGAUGAGGGAAAAAAUGGAUGGAAAAGGGAAAAUGGAAGAAAAAUGGGAAAAAUGAGGGAAAAAAUGGAUGGAAAAAGGAAAAGUGGAAGGAAAAUGGAAAAAAUGAGGGAAAAAUGGAUGGAAAAAGGAAAAGUGGAAGAAAAAUGGAAAAAAUGAGGGAAAAAAUGGAUGGAAAAAGGAGAAAUGAGGGAAAAAAGGGAAAUUAAAGAGAAAAAGGAAAUGGGAAGAAAAAGGAGGAGAAAUGAAGGAAAAGAGGAAAAAAGGAGGAAAAAACGGAGCUGGGAGGAGAAAAUGAGGAGAGGAAAGGAAAAAAUGAAGGAAAUGGGAAAAGGAAGAGGAAAAACGGGAAAAAGCGGAAAAGGGAAGAGGAAAGUCGGGAAAAAAGGAAAAGGAGAAGAAAAAAAGUGGGAAAAAUGAAGGAAAAGUGGGAGAGGAAGAGAAAAAGGAAAAAGAAGGAAAAAAGAGGAAAAAAUGGAAAAAAGAAGGAAAAAAGAGAGAAAAGGGAAAAAGAAGGAAAAAAGAGAGGGAAAAAAAGAAAAAAAAAAAAAAAAAAAAAAAAAAUAUGAAAAAAAAAGAAAAAAAAAAACAGGAAAAAAAUAACCAAAAGAACGGAAAAAAGGGAAAAUUCCCCGGAAAAGACCAAAACCCCCCCGGCCCCUCCCCCCGCAGCCGCAGAUACCUCACGGACCCCAAAACCCCCGGAAUUCGCCCCAAAAUUCCAGAAAACUGUGAAAAACUAAAGGGGGAAAACGCCCCAAAAAUUCGCUUUUUUUGGGGACCAAAACCCCGAAUGUAGCCCCGCCCCCCGCCGCGGAUUUUGGGGCGUUUUGGGGCAAAAAAACGACCAAAAAGGGAGGGAAAAUGAGGGAAAAAAAGGGAAAUUUGGGUUUUUCUGGAGGGGGGAGGGGAACCCCCCCGGUUGGUUUUUUGGGGGGGUUUUGGGGUUGUUUGUUGGGAUUUUGGGAUUUUUAUUUUGAUGGGAAUGAGGAGGAAAGGAUGGAAAUUGAAAAAAAUGGGGAAAAUCAAAAAAAACACGGGGUUCGACCAAAAAAAGGAAAUGAGAGAAAAAAAAGGCCAAAAAUGGGGAAAAAAAGG